CGGCGCACGGGUGAGUAUCGCGUUUGCACCUACCUCUGACUGGAGCAUAGGCCGAGGACAAUCGGAUUAAUACUCCAUAAUACUGCGAGAAGGCAUCUUUUUUCAGUUAAAGCUUCGGCGGUCGGAGAUGGGCAUGCGNUACAUUAGCUAGUUGGUGAGGUAACUGCUCACCAAUGCUACGAUGUUUAGGGGGUCUGAGAGGAUGGUCCCCCACACUGGUACUGAGACACGGACCAGACUCCUAGGGGAGGCAGCAGUGAGGAAUAUUGGUCAGUGGGCGAAAGCCUGAACCAGCCAUGCCGCGUGAAGGAUGACGGCCCUAUGGGUUGUAAACUUCUUUUAUACGGGAAGAAACCUCUCUACGUGUAGAGGGUUGACGGUACCGUACGAAUAAGCAUCGGCUAACUCCGUGCCAGCAGCCGCGGUAAUACGGAGGAUGCAAGCGUUAUCCGGAUUCAUUGGGUUUAAAGGGUGCGCAGGCGGAGAAUUAAGUCAGUGGUGAAAUCCUGCAGCUUAACUGUAGAAUUGUCAUUGAUACUGGUUUUCUUGAAUGCAGUUGAGGUAGGCGGAAUGUGUAAUGUAGCGGUGAAAUGCUUAGAUAUUACCCAGAACACCGAUUGAGACAGGCAGCUUACUCAACUGUGAUUGACGCUGAGGCACGAAAGCGUGGGGAGCGAACAGGCAUAGAUACCCUGGUAGUCCACGCUGGUAACUAUGAUCACUCG
RNAcentral lists this ribosomal RNA (725 nucleotides) under uncultured organism. Its description in RNAcentral is "bacterial SSU rRNA". It matches the Rfam family "Bacterial small subunit ribosomal RNA", at positions 96 to 819 of the family's 1533-position model. The record is from RNAcentral.